Molecule: ribosomal RNA, 497 nt
Filed under: uncultured bacterium
Lineage: Bacteria
Description: partial 16S ribosomal RNA
Rfam family: Bacterial small subunit ribosomal RNA
Source: RNAcentral
GAUGAACGCUGGCGGCGUGCCUAAUACAUGCAAGUCGAGCGAACAGAUCAGGAGCUUGCUCCUCUGACGUUAGCGGCGGACGGGUGAGUAACACGUGGAUAACCUACCUAUAAGACUGGGAUAACUACGGGAAACCGGAGCUAAUACCGGAUAAUAUAUUGAACCGCAUGGUUCAAUAAUGAAAGACGGUUUUGCUUUCACUUAUAGAUUGUUCCCCGCCGCAUUAGCUAGUUGGUUAGGUAACGGCUUACCAAGGCAACGUUGCGUAGCCGACCGGAGAGGGUGAUCGGCCACACGGGAACUGAGACACGGUCCAGACUCCUACGGGAGGCAGCAGUAGGGAAUCUGCCGCAAUGGGGGAAAGCCUGACGGAGCAACGCCGCGUGAGGGAUGAAGGUCUUCGGAUCGUAAAACGCUGUUAUUAGGGAAGAACAAAUGUGUAAGUAACUAUGGACGUCUUGACGGUACCUAAUCAGAAAGCCACGGCUAACUACGUG